RNAcentral lists this ribosomal RNA (460 nucleotides) under Alternaria sp. OT1-75a. RNAcentral's name for it is "eukaryotic LSU rRNA". The stretch from base 104 to 257 matches the Rfam family "5.8S ribosomal RNA". Lineage: Eukaryota; Fungi; Ascomycota; Dothideomycetes; Pleosporales; Pleosporaceae. The record is from RNAcentral.
GUCUUUUGCGUACUUCUUGUUUCCUUGGUGGGUUCGCCCACCACUAGGACAAACAUAAACCUUUUGUAAUUGCAAUCAGCGUCAGUAACAAAUUAAUAAUUACAACUUUCAACAACGGAUCUCUUGGUUCUGGCAUCGAUGAAGAACGCAGCGAAAUGCGAUAAGUAGUGUGAAUUGCAGAAUUCAGUGAAUCAUCGAAUCUUUGAACGCACAUUGCGCCCUUUGGUAUUCCAAAGGGCAUGCCUGUUCGAGCGUCAUUUGUACCCUCAAGCUUUGCUUGGUGUUGGGCGUCUUGUCUCUAGCUUUGCUGGAGACUCGCCUUAAAGUAAUUGGCAGCCGGCCUACUGGUUUCGGAGCGCAGCACAAGUCGCACUCUCUAUCAGCAAAGGUCUAGCAUCCAUUAAGCCUUUUUUUCAACUUUUGACCUCGGAUCAGGUAGGGAUACCCGCUGAACUUAAGC